AGUCGUAACAAGGUCUCCGUAGGUGAACCUGCGGAGGGAUCAUUACACAAAUAUGAAGGCGGGCUGGAACCUCUCGGGGUUACAGCCUUGCUGAAUUAUUCACCCUUGUCUUUUGCGUACUUCUUGUUUCCUUGGUGGGUUCGCCCACCACUAGGACAAACAUAAACCUUUUGUAAUUGCAAUCAGCGUCAGUAACAAAUUAAUAAUUACAACUUUCAACAACGGAUCUCUUGGUUCUGGCAUCGAUGAAGAACGCAGCGAAAUGCGAUAAGUAGUGUGAAUUGCAGAAUUCAGUGAAUCAUCGAAUCUUUGAACGCACAUUGCGCCCUUUGGUAUUCCAAAGGGCAUGCCUGUUCGAGCGUCAUUUGUACCCUCAAGCUUUGCUUGGUGUUGGGCGUCUUGUCUCUAGCUUUGCUGGAGACUCGCCUUAAAGUAAUUGGCAGCCGGCCUACUGGUUUCGGAGCGCAGCACAAGUCGCACUCUCUAUCAGCAAAGGUCUAGCAUCCAUUAAGCCUUUUUUUCAACUUUUGACCUCGGAUCAGGUAGGGAUACCCGCUGAACUUAAGCAUAUCAAUAAAAAGUCG
Molecule: ribosomal RNA, 584 nt
Filed under: uncultured fungus
Lineage: Eukaryota; Fungi
Description: eukaryotic LSU rRNA
Rfam family: 5.8S ribosomal RNA (bases 211-364)
Source: RNAcentral